RNAcentral lists this ribosomal RNA (207 nucleotides) under uncultured bacterium. Its description in RNAcentral is "partial 16S ribosomal RNA". It matches the Rfam family "Bacterial small subunit ribosomal RNA", at positions 568 to 774 of the family's 1533-position model. The record is from RNAcentral.
CGCGCAGGCGGUCCUGUCCGUCAGGUGUGAAAGCUCGGGGCUCAACCCCGGAAGUGCACUUGAAACAGCAAGACUUGAAUACGGGAGAGGAGAGAGGAAUUCCUGGUGUAGAGGUGAAAUUCGUAGAUAUCAGGAGGAACACCGAUGGCGAAGGCAUCUCUCUGGACCGAUAUUGACGCUGAGGCGCGAAGGCGUGGGUAGCGAACG